RNAcentral lists this ribosomal RNA (378 nucleotides) under uncultured eukaryote. Its description in RNAcentral is "partial 18S ribosomal RNA". It matches the Rfam family "Eukaryotic small subunit ribosomal RNA", at positions 592 to 976 of the family's 1831-position model. The record is from RNAcentral.
CAAUAGCGUAUAUUAAAGUUGUUGCAGUUAAAAAGCUCGUAGUUGGAUUUCUGUUCUUGGGAUCUGGUCCGCCUCACGGUGAGCACUGGAUAACUGGGGACAUCCUCUCGAAGGCGGCAGGUGCACUUGAUUGUGCGUUUGUUGAAUUCGGGACCUUUACUUUGAAAAAAUUAGAGUGUUCAAAGCAGGCGUCGGCUUGAAUACAUUAGCAUGGAAUAAUGGAAUAGGACUUUGGUUCUAUUUUGUUGGUUUCUAGGACCGAAGUAAUGAUUAAUAGGGGCAGUUGGGGGCAUUAGUAUUUAAUUGUCAGAGGUGAAAUUCUUGGAUUUAUGAAAGACUAACUACUGCGAAAGCAUUUGCCAAGGAUGUUUUCAUUAA